GUUACUAUGGCUGAUAAGAAUAAUGUCUAUUUGGGACAAUAACAACUUGUGACCAAAUUAUUCAUCACUUUUCAAUUUACAGGCUACAUACAUACUCCGAUCAAUUUCUGCCGGAACUAGGGUUCCGCCGGCCGGAGAAUUUCCAGUUCCGGAUCUGUCUAAUUGAAGUUGUAGAUCGCACAAUUAGUUAAGCAAAUUUGGAAUGAUUUAUGGGUGAAUUGAUUGUUUUGUUGGUGGUGGUUAGUGGUUGGUAGCUGAAGUAGAAGAAGAAGAGGAGGACAAAAGUUCAAUCAAUAUACAGAAAAUGAGUGUGAGCAACGGUUCAGUUCAUCCUGUUGACGCACCACCGUUGCAAACAGAAGCAGCUAACGUGCCGCGAGUGAGGAUGAAGGAUGUUCAAGGAAUGCCUGGGACGGUUGGUGGAUCCUUCUUACGUUUCGCUCAGUUUGUAUUUGCUGUUGUUGCGCUUUGUGUUAUGGCUACUACCAGUGAUUUUCCUUCCGUCACAGCUUUCUGUUACCUUGUCGCUGCUGCUGGCUUGCAGAGCUUAUGGAGCUUGUCUCUAGGUAUUCUUGAUGUUUAUGCUCUUCUUGUUGGACGGUGCUUGCAGAACUCUCAGGUUGUGAGUUUAUUUGCUGUCGGUGAUGGGGUAAGUUGCUACAGGUUCAUCCAAAACUUGAUCACGUAAUAGUAGCUGUGCUAAUAAAUAAAUGAAGGGAUUAUUGAAGUAGUAUUCUUGUACGAUAAAAAAGAUGCAUAUCAACUUGUCAAACAUUCUGAUUUCUUUGUGUGAUAGAAAAAACUGUACAAUUUGGUACAAUCAGACAUGCAAGGACUUGAUACGACAGAGAAAAGCUCCCAUAACAAUCAGUUCAAUACACUAGUGCUGUGAUUUUGUAUUGUUUGAUGAGUAAAAUAUCAAAAAGUUUCAACUUUUUACCUUUCUAUUGGUAUGAAAAAGCUUAAUGCAGAUAUUUUGGAUUCUGUUAAUUUCCUAUGGAAGUUUUGCAGUUUCUUAGUGUAUUCUUGGAAUUUUUUGAUCCAUCUUUCAUCUCUUAAGAUAUAGAUAUGUGAGGUCAGACAUGAAAGUUCUUCUUUAACAUGGGUUUUUAACUCGUCCAGUUUGAUGUCCAAAUUACCAUUUAUUAAAGUUUGAUAAGUUGAUUUGUCUUUUAAAUAUCUCAUAAUGAGGUGACAUUAGAGUUACUUCUAACAGCAUAUUCCCACCCUUGGGCGGAGAUGAAACCCCAAUAAUCAAAAAGUUGUACUAUAUAUCCUAUGUCAAAAUUAGUUUUUAUCAAUAUGUAAUUGAUUUUGAAGCACAAUGCUGUUGAAUCUCCAUUGAAGAAAGAAAUGUCUUCCAUGGACAAUGUGGAUGAAAUCAAAAGGAAAUUCUCAAGUGAGCAUAGUAUCAAAGUUACUCUUUCGCCUAUAAGGAAGGCUCGUGUGUUUAUUUCUUUAUAUUUUGAAUUCUCUUGGUUAAAUCCUUGUGCCCAUUCAGCACAUUCCACUUUGUGCAUAUAACAUAAGAUUUUAAAUAAGCUCAUUGUGGAGCAUAGUCCAGAUUGUUGACUUCUUACCAUUUAUCAUCUUCAUGAAUGUCUUUCUUGCAGGUCACUUCUACCCUCAUGUUUGCUGCAGCCUGUGCUUCUGCUGGCAUUACUGUACUGAUUGGCAAUGACCUUGGUGUCUGCUCACAAAAUCACUGCUUAGAGUUCGAGACUGCUACUGCCAUGGCUUUUCUUAGCUGGUUCUGUGCUUUGCCAUCAUUUCUCUUAAACUUUUGGUCACUUGCAUCCAGGUGAAGAAAGGCUCUCAAGGAAUUAGAAACGAUGCCAAAAUAUCUUGUAAAAGUACUGCCUUUUGUUUUGAUGUUGUAAAAUUUUGUCUAGAUGAUCAAUGUCCCAGAAAAACAUGCAAUUGCUACUGCAGUGUGUAAAUACUGAUUGCGUAAAGCAGGUUAAUGUGGGUAAUUGAGCUGUGCUCUAACUCUGUUGCUGGAUAUAAAGGAUUGCACAUAAAUUGUUUGAUACUGAAAAUGCCAUCAUUUAGCCAUUCUUCCUAGCAUAUUUCACUUGGUACCUCUCCGUCUUAAUUUACGUAACACUAUUUUGAUCAAGCUUAGAGAUAGUGAAUCACUUUGUGACUAACCAGAGAUAUGAGCUAUAUAAAUUUUGACAAUAGGUAUAUGUAAUGUUAAAUCUACAGUACAUGUAAAGGUGAUCGAGUUGGUUGAACAUGAACGAAUACCACUACAUGCUUUCUAAAUCAAGCUUGAUUUAUCCAAAGGGAUAGCGGUUGUGAGUUACCUUGUAUAAAUAAUAAACUUUCUGAACUAGAAAAAAGGAAAAAU
RNAcentral lists this long non-coding RNA (2353 nucleotides) under Solanum lycopersicum (tomato). RNAcentral describes it as "partial TCONS_00178924". The record is from RNAcentral. Lineage: Eukaryota; Viridiplantae; Streptophyta; Magnoliopsida; Solanales; Solanaceae.